CAAUCCGUGCUGACAUGGUCGGGCUCGGUCUACCUUAUUGUAUGCGAACAACAUCGAAACUUAUUAAGAAAUCAAACACAUCCGGACGGAUCCCCGCACCCCACGGCACGACGAAAUGAGGAUGGCGUGGAGGGGAGGGGGGCAAAAGGAUUACGAGCUCUCAUCGCCCGUCUCGAGGACCCAGACCUUCUCCCGCCGCCGGGCGACGAUGACGGUGUGCCGGGAAUUUGGGCUUGGUAUGCCGGGAGAAACCGGAGGAGGACGGGAUUUUCGGACGUGGAUGGGAGGUGGAGGAGGAAGAAGAAGACGGCCGCGCCCCUCCUUUUUUUCACAGCAAAAAAGCAAAAGUUCCAGGAAGAAACGAAACGAUCCACCAAACCAAACCCAACCACCACGCCUCCAUUUCAAAAGGGGGGAAAAAGAAGACGAAACAGCAAUCCCGCAGACCGCACCAGACCAAGAAAUUAGAAUGGAUGCCGAAGGCGAUGAGCGGAGAAGCCCUUGCUUACCGCCCCAGCUUCGCCAUGUCGAUCGUGGGCGCGGCGGCGGCGAGCUGGGGAGAAGGGAUGCGGUGCGACGGUGGCGG
This 586-nucleotide unclassified non-coding RNA is filed under the name Zea mays. Its description in RNAcentral is "misc RNA Zm00001eb258910". The record is from RNAcentral. Lineage: Eukaryota; Viridiplantae; Streptophyta; Magnoliopsida; Poales; Poaceae.